CGACCCGGGUGCUUUCGCAGAAGGAGGAGGACAUACAGAUGAUGCUUUCCGCCGCCGUCCAUCUCGGCGCCAGGAACUGCGACUUCCAGAUGGAGCGCUACGUCUACAAGCGGAGAUCCGAUGGUGCCCACCCCCCCAACCCCUUCCUUUUAACUUCUUUGUUUCUCCUGCUGCCUGAUCCGUGCUUGCUUCCGUACCAUCAUGCUGUCGAGUCCGGCUCAAAUUUUCUGCUUUUUGGUCGUGAGGAGAGCUACGAGUAGUAGAUCUCCACGAGGGCUUGUUGUUUUGUUUGCGAUCUCGAUAUGGCAUGUUAGUGGCAACGAACUCCAGGGAAGAAAUCGUUUUUUGUUCAUAGGAG
This 358-nucleotide long non-coding RNA is filed under the name Musa acuminata (dwarf banana). Its description in RNAcentral is "long non-coding RNA (MACU_LNC009978)". Lineage: Eukaryota; Viridiplantae; Streptophyta; Magnoliopsida; Zingiberales; Musaceae. The record is from RNAcentral.